AAGUUGUAACAAGGUUUCCGUAGGUGAACCUGCGGAAGGAUCAUUAACAAAUCCGUGUUGGUGUUGUGCGUGCACUUUGUGUGUGCGUGCAGUAUCACAUAAACUCGGGGAGAGGCGACUUUUGCUUCUCCUCGAAUCAUCAUAUAUGUGUAGUUGACUAAUUUGUGGACUAAUAUUUAAAACUUUUAACAAUGGAUCUCUAGGCUCUU
This 209-nucleotide unclassified non-coding RNA is filed under the name Pezizales sp. Its description in RNAcentral is "partial contains small subunit ribosomal RNA, internal transcribed spacer 1, and 5.8S ribosomal RNA". The stretch from base 1 to 46 matches the Rfam family "Eukaryotic small subunit ribosomal RNA", at positions 1786 to 1831 of the family's 1831-position model. The record is from RNAcentral. Lineage: Eukaryota; Fungi; Ascomycota; Pezizomycetes; Pezizales.